GGGUGGGUCUGUCUGUGCAUACACAGUUGUGAAGGUUGUGAGGUCUCCUUGAAGUGUUGUGAGCUUCUCCACCCUUUGUGUUGCUUGUUGUGCAAUGUUCUCAAGUUGCAUGCCUGUCAACAUGGCGACUGGCCUGGCUUCCUUGGUCACACCUCUGCAGAACCUUGCUGAACAUCUGCCAAAAGUUUCCGGCCAGAGUCUGAUUAGGGCUUUGCUCUUAAGCAAAACUGUUUACAGGAAAAAAAAAAAAAAAGGUUUCGAUUUCUUCGAUAUUUAUGUGGUUUUGUGUUUUUAUACCCUGCGCUAUUGUGUCUUAAUUAAAAAUUUUAUCAACUGGCUUCUAAGUUGAGAGCAGAAUCUUUUUGAAACAAAAAGCCACUUUGCCUACAUGGGAGACCAUAACACUGGGAAAAUAUAUGGGACUUGUCACCAGACACAGAAUGACUGACAGAUAGGGCCAGGCUAGAGUUUCUUUAUGUGAAAUCAAGUGGGGGGCCUUGCUCCUUUGCUUCGGGCUUGGUAUUCUCUUACCACUUGGUGGAGCCCUGUGGGGCAACAGUGUAGCCCUCACUCCAAUUCACUGUACAAGUUGGUAUUUCUGUAGUAAUGACCCCAGGAAAGACAAUCAGAUAAAAUCUGGGAUAAGCAAAUGUAGAAGGUUAAAUAUUGAUUGGGAGGAGGGUGGAGAGACUGGUGAUGCUGUUCAAAGUGGGAUAAUUCAGAAAUCUCUAGUAGUAACCCAACAGGAAGUACCACUCUACAGCUGGUUAAAGCUGAUAUGGAAUGCUAUUUUUAAAACGUUAUUUUGUUUUGUGCUUUUGGCCAAGAACUAUUAACUCCUGUUGUUUUCCUCCCUUGCUCCCAUGGUAGUUGUUCUGUUUGGGGCAGAUGGGUUGGAUUUCUGCAGGUUUGCACUCUCUGAAGACGUGAAGGGAAGUGAGGAUACCAUUCAUGUCAGUAUAGUCUCCAUUCCACCUCGUCCCCGUGCCCCCAGCUUCACAUUGCAGCAGUGUGAUGCUGUUUCUUUGUUUAUACUCCUCUCUCAGGCUGAGGGUAUUUGUUACAGCUCUAGAAAACUGUAGAAACACUGUAGCUUUCCACCCUGUUGUCUCUUGUUGCCCGGUCCCACAAUAACCUGCCCUCCCUCCUCAGGUGAUUCCAGGCGCUAUGAGCCAGCUGCUAGAAUGUUGGCAGUGGAAGCAGAGGACCCCAGUGGUGGUCUGCUGCUGCACUGCUUCAUAGCCCACAGGUUUGCAGCAGAGCCAUCCUGUUCCUCAUCAGCUACUAGGAGCCUUUAAACAGAGUGAAUGCUGUAAGACUUUGUACAUACUUUAGUUGUUCUGGAAUCUAAGAAGAAAGUUAUGCUAAUAAAUAGCUCUGGUGUAGGCUUU
This 1391-nucleotide long non-coding RNA is filed under the name Mus musculus (house mouse). RNAcentral's name for it is "long non-coding RNA chr4:5799709-5801100". The record is from RNAcentral. Lineage: Eukaryota; Metazoa; Chordata; Mammalia; Rodentia; Muridae.